Molecule: ribosomal RNA, 253 nt
Filed under: uncultured bacterium
Lineage: Bacteria
Description: partial 16S ribosomal RNA
Rfam family: Bacterial small subunit ribosomal RNA
Source: RNAcentral
UACAGAGGUCUCAAGCGUUGUUCGGAUUCAUUGGGCGUAAAGGGUGCGUAGGCGGCGCGGUAAGUCGGGUGUGAAAUCUCGGGGCUUAACUCCGAAACUGCAUUCGAUACUGCCGUGCUUGAGGACUGGAGAGGAGACUGGAAUUUACGGUGUAGCGGUGAAAUGCGUAGAUAUCGUAAGGAAGACCAGUGGCGAAGGCGGCAUCCUGGACCGGCAUUGACGCUGAGGCGCGAAAGCCAGGGGAGCAAACGGG